GCCAGGGGUUACAUUAGGAUAAACAAAACAUAAUAAUAAUAAUAAUAACAAAAGGUAGAAAUAAAGUUGUGUGUGUGUGUGUGUGUGUGUGCGUGUGUGUGUGUGUUAUCUGCGAUGUUGAUAGUUUUCCUUUAUUUUGUAGUUUGUGCUUGUUCCUCUACUGCCUCUUGUAAAGCUGCGCCAUCUAGUGUUUGAUUGUAGUCUUUCCUAUAUUCCUUAUAUUCGAUUAAGUCAAAAAUAAAGGGAUAGUUAAUAAAUGAAAAUGUUGCCGUAUAUUCACCAUCCUCUUAACAAUAAAAUGUAAGACUAAAAAGGAUAUGAAAAUUAUAUGGACUAUGGAAAAUACAUAUUUUACACACACACACACAUGUCUGGUUUGCUAUCCUUGUGGGGACUCUCCAUAGGCGUAAUGGUUUUUAUACUGUACAAACCGUAUAUUCUAUUGCCCUACACCAACCCUACCCCUAAACCUACCCCUCACAGGAGACUUUCUGCAUUUUUAGAUUUUCAAAAAACUUCAUUCUGUCCUCAAUUUAGGUCCCCACCGUGACACGAGUCCCCAUGAGUCUGUGUGUAGUCAGGUUUAAGUCCCCACCAGGAUAUAUAAACCAGUACACACACACACACACACACACACACACAGGGAGAGAUAGAGAGAGGGAGAAAGACUCUUAAAUGGUUAGUUUACAAUCUUAACCCCUUGUUCACACUUAGAAAUGAAUAUUUACAGCAGACUUGCUGGAUCUUGAUUUGCAUUAUAAUGAAACAGAAACAUUGCAGGUAUCUUGUAAAAUCAUACCAGGAAACAACAUGAAAAUAUAUGCAGUAUGUGCCUUUCAAAAAGGUACAUUCUAUUCUAUUCUAAUUUCGCCUAGGUCACCUUUACUAUAUCAUUCUUGCCCUCUGACACUUUCUGCAGCCUGUUUCUCCUCCCUCUCUUCCUCCUCCUUCCUGCACAGACUGGGAAGUAAUCCUAUAUAUACUGUAUAUAUUAGUUUUUCACCCUGUACUUCUUUAAAGGCUCUUCUCAGCUCACUGACAUUGUGUCACACAAACAAAGAAAAAUGCCAGAAGAAGUUCCUGCUCAGUGCAAGGCUCCCAAAGAUGAGCUGGACAAAUGUGUUCAGGGGAAGGGUGCAGAGGGCUGUAAGGAGCUGCUGGAAGCUUUUGAGGCCUGUGUGAAGGGGACCACGGCAGCCUCGUGAGGGGACAUGGAUUUACAUGUCCUUCCUUUCUGGGUCCCUUGCAUUCCCUCACAUUGCACUGGACUAAACCAUUUUAUGGACCGUGAAAGGGGUGCAAGAGCUGGAAAGCAGUGGAAUAGUUUAUUUUGAUCCUGGGAAGUCGUUGUCCUUGUUGGUGUCCCUCAUGUUUACCGUGUUAUGUGUAACAGUGGAAGAAAGAAAACCCAGUUUUAUUAUUAUUAUUAUUAUUUUCCAGAUUUCACACUGUAAUAAAACAGUGCUUUUCAUUUGAUUUUGAAUAAAUUACUAUCAAUAACCAUGACAAUUAAGAGGCAGCCUACAUAGC
RNAcentral lists this long non-coding RNA (1530 nucleotides) under Sinocyclocheilus grahami. RNAcentral describes it as "lncRNA (ENSSGRG00000045374.1)". Lineage: Eukaryota; Metazoa; Chordata; Actinopteri; Cypriniformes; Cyprinidae. The record is from RNAcentral.